This 254-nucleotide ribosomal RNA is filed under the name uncultured bacterium. RNAcentral describes it as "partial 16S ribosomal RNA". It matches the Rfam family "Bacterial small subunit ribosomal RNA", at positions 524 to 776 of the family's 1533-position model. The record is from RNAcentral.
UACGGAGGGAGCUAGCGUUAUUCGGAAUUACUGGGCGUAAAGCGCACGUAGGCGGCUUUGUAAGUUAGAGGUGAAAGCCCGGGGCUCAACCCCGGAAUUGCCUUUAAGACUGCAUCGCUUGAAUCCAGGAGAGGUGAGUGGAAUUCCGAGUGUAGAGGUGAAAUUCGUAGAUAUUCGGAAGAACACCAGUGGCGAAGGCGGCUCACUGGACUGGUAUUGACGCUGAGGUGGCGAAAGCGUGGGGAGCAAACAGG